Molecule: small nucleolar RNA, 69 nt
Filed under: Procavia capensis (Cape rock hyrax)
Lineage: Eukaryota; Metazoa; Chordata; Mammalia; Hyracoidea; Procaviidae
Description: Small nucleolar RNA SNORD123 (ENSPCAG00000020098.1)
Rfam family: Small nucleolar RNA SNORD123
Source: RNAcentral
GGUGAAGAUGAUGAAUUCGGGGCUCUGAUUCAUGUGACUUGAAAAAGGCCAUCCAUUUCCUGAUUCACC